AAUUCUCAACCCUCUUGGUUUUCUUUUGAAGGCUUAAGAGGGCUUGGACUUGGAGGUUCUUGCUGGCAGCACUUUGCGAUCAGCUCCUCUUAAAUGCAUUAGCGAGGUUCUCUUUGCUGACCUUUGGCGUGAUAAGUAUCUACGUCUUUGGUGUGGCUCUGCUGUUAGAACCUGCUUCUAAUUGUCUCUUUGCUGAGACAACUUGAGUCCUCUUUAUUGAGGCUCUAACUCACAC
Molecule: unclassified non-coding RNA, 235 nt
Filed under: Gloeopeniophorella convolvens
Lineage: Eukaryota; Fungi; Basidiomycota; Agaricomycetes; Russulales
Description: partial internal transcribed spacer 2
Source: RNAcentral